RNAcentral lists this transfer-messenger RNA (402 nucleotides) under Candidatus Saccharimonadota bacterium. It matches the Rfam family "transfer-messenger RNA". From Rfam's summary of the family: Bacterial tmRNA, also known as 10Sa RNA or SsrA, is named for its dual tRNA and mRNA-like properties. Its role is to liberate the mRNA from a stalled ribosome. The record is from RNAcentral. Lineage: Bacteria; Candidatus Saccharimonadota.
GGGGCUGAUAUAGCAUUCGACAAUUGGAAUUUAACAGAAUGUUUUGCAGAUCGAAGAUGCACGUUACGCAUAUAUAAUAAUUGCAAAAUCUAAAAUUGCAACUGCAUUUGCUAACUUGAAGGGCGCGUUUGCUCCUCAGGCAUUUGCACCAAUCGCUGCGUAAUUUAAGGCGAUCAUUCUUGCUGUAUUCUGCAGUUGAAUAGGGCAGAGUGUUAUAUUGUAAACUGCUUGCUAUAUAGUUGGAAGCGGCAGCUAUAUAGGACAUCUACCGCGUAACACAUGCUGGUAUUUUUGAUUUAUUUUGAGCCAGUGCGUGUUAUAAAACAGGUAAAUAAAUCUAUGUCUGUAGACGAACAUUCAGUUACCAAUUGGACCGGGGGGCAGUACCCCGCAGCUCCACCA